RNAcentral lists this ribosomal RNA (482 nucleotides) under uncultured bacterium. RNAcentral describes it as "partial 16S ribosomal RNA". It matches the Rfam family "Bacterial small subunit ribosomal RNA", at positions 30 to 507 of the family's 1533-position model. The record is from RNAcentral.
AUUGAACGCUGGCGGCAUGCUUUACACAUGCAAGUCGAACGGCAGCGCGGGGCAACCUGGCGGCGAGUGGCGAACGGGUGAGUAAUAUAUCGGAACGUACCCAGAAGUGGGGGAUAACGUAGCGAAAGUUACGCUAAUACCGCAUACGAUCUACGGAUGAAAGUGGGGGAUCGCAAGACCUCAUGCUUUUGGAGCGGCCGAUAUCUGAUUAGCUAGUUGGUAGGGUAAAGGCCUACCAAGGCGACGAUCAGUAGCUGGUCUGAGAGGACGACCAGCCACACUGGGACUGAGACACGGCCCAGACUCCUACGGGAGGCAGCAGUGGGGAAUUUUGGACAAUGGGCGCAAGCCUGAUCCAGCAAUGCCGCGUGAGUGAAGAAGGCCUUCGGGUUGUAAAGCUCUUUUGUCAGGGAAGAAACGGCCGAGGCUAAUACCUUUGGCUAAUGACGGUACCUGAAGAAUAAGCACCGGCUAACUACGUG